GUCGAGUUGGUUUCUGGUAGAUAGCUAUGGUCCGGCCCUUCGGCCUUUGUAUCAGUUGUUAUCUGUCAUCCUAUCUGGGUUGUUUCGGUUUCGGCCGGGCAGUUCAGGUUCUUUUACUUUGAAAAAAUUAGAGUGUUUAAAGCAAGCUUACGCGAUGAAUACAUUAGCAUGGAAUAAUAAUAUAGGACUACGGGUUCUAUUUUGUUGGUUUCUAGACCUGAAGUAAUGAUUGAUAGGGAUAGUUGGGGGUGCUAGUAUUGAGAGGCCAGAGGUGAAAUUCUUGGAUUCUCUCAAGACUAACUUAUGCGAAAGUUCACCAAGGAUGUCUUCUUUAAUCAAGAACGAAAAGUGGGGGGACGAAGACGAUCAGAUACCGUCGUAGGCUCAACCAUAAACUAUACCGACUAAGGAUGCGUGAUCGUUGCAUUUUCGACUUCAUGCGCACUUUAUGAGAAAUCAAAGUCUUUGGGGUCUGGGGGGAGUAUGGUCGCAAGGCUGAAACUUAAAGGAAUUGACGGAAGGGCACCACCAGGAGGGGGAGCCUGCGGUUUAAUUUGACUCAACACGGGAAAACUCACCAGGGCCGGACA
Molecule: ribosomal RNA, 590 nt
Filed under: uncultured eukaryote
Lineage: Eukaryota
Description: bacterial SSU rRNA
Rfam family: Eukaryotic small subunit ribosomal RNA
Source: RNAcentral